GCGGUUAUGGCUCAGUUGGUUAGAGCGUCGGUCUCAUAACGUACAGCUCUCGAAGCUCAAACACGACAUCAACACGACUGAGAUCAUAAAGAUCCCACUUCCCCUUCCCCGACGAACGUCGGAGAGCGAUCCGAAGGUCACCGGUUCGAUCCCGGUUAACCGCA
This 164-nucleotide transfer RNA is filed under the name Ostreococcus lucimarinus CCE9901. It matches the Rfam family "tRNA". Rfam says of the family: Transfer RNA (tRNA) molecules are approximately 80 nucleotides in length. Their secondary structure includes four short double-helical elements and three loops (D, anti-codon, and T loops). Lineage: Eukaryota; Viridiplantae; Chlorophyta; Mamiellophyceae; Mamiellales; Bathycoccaceae. The record is from Rfam by way of RNAcentral.